This 253-nucleotide ribosomal RNA is filed under the name uncultured bacterium. Its description in RNAcentral is "partial 16S ribosomal RNA". It matches the Rfam family "Bacterial small subunit ribosomal RNA", at positions 524 to 776 of the family's 1533-position model. The record is from RNAcentral.
UACGUAGGGGGCUAGCGUUGUCCGGAUUUAUUGGGCGUAAAGAGCGUGUAGGCGGCCAGGUAGGUCUGCUGUGAAAACUCGAGGCUCAACCUCGAGACGUCGGCGGAAACCAUCUGGCUAGAGUCCGGAAGAGGAGAGUGGAAUUCCUGGUGUAGCGGUGAAAUGCGCAGAUAUCAGGAAGAACACCCGUGGCGAAGGCAGCUCUCUGGGACGGUACUGACGCUGAGACGCGAAAGCGUGGGGAGCGAACAGG